This 339-nucleotide unclassified non-coding RNA is filed under the name Hevea brasiliensis (rubber tree). The record is from RNAcentral. Lineage: Eukaryota; Viridiplantae; Streptophyta; Magnoliopsida; Malpighiales; Euphorbiaceae.
CCUCACACAAGAGAAUGUCCUUUUCUCCAUGGACAAAAGUAGUGCACCCUCCCCCCCUGGUUACUUUCUCAUUACUCACUUGACAAACUCUUUCAGAAGAUUGGUCUCUAUCACCGAAAAUAGCAUCUUGCAGAUCCUCUGCCUUGCUCUCUUCAGAAAUGAUCUCUUUGGAAUUAUUUUUAGUCUUCAAAAUGCUAUUUUCACUAUUUACAAUUUCUUGAGAGACAAUCUGACAACUCUUUUCAACUGUUUUGCAAGUUUCCUUCAGUGGGCUUUCUGAAAUAUCGUCAGAGACGUUUUCAAUCCCUUUAACAACACGAACAUUGGAGUCCAAAUUCU